CCAGGUGUGCUGGGACCAGGUCUCACACAUAUGAUGAAUCAUGGCACAAGAUCGAAUGUCACAACUUUACUAUAUAAUAGGAAUUCUAUACAAAAUAAAUAAUUGCAUAUAAGGAGACAACGGUCCAGCAACCCAAAGUUGACUGGGAGACGACGACCUAGACCUCUCACGAACACAUCACAGCAUCCUCCAAGCGCCUCAUCCAGCGGUACCUGUUCUUGACCUGUGGGGGGUGUGAGACAGCAAGAGUGAGCUCACAUACGUUCAUCGCUCAACAAGUUGUGGGGAAUAAUGUGCAUGAACUCGCCAAAGGUGGGAGCUCACGUGAAGUGUAAGGCUUACCAAAGAGGAUGGUUAGAGCUGAGCAUUGCUUUUAAAGUUGGUCAAAAUUUUAUUAGCAAUUACUAAGUAUAAGUAAAUACCAACCCAAUUAAGUAGUAGAACAAAAGUAACAACAUCACCUGCGAUGCAAUGCAUAUGACAAAUUGAAUUUAAGUUUCAUAAUUUAAUCAUCAGAGAGUCCUGAGCUGCUCAUGACCGUGAGCUCGGCUAGUAUACCAGUUUUACACUCUGCAGAGGUGGUACCCUUUACCCACAAGUCAUGUUACCCAUCUGCCAAGGGAUCGCGACUUCCCAUACACCUCUACCGAGGAGACGAGGCAGGGUAACACUACGAGGCCUUUACAAAGUUCCACUAGCUUCAGAAAACCCGCUACAGUUUAUAGGAAGCUCCAAUGCAGGGUUCUUGCCCGACCGCCAUCGCAGCAAAAUCAACCAAGGACCUCCCUACACUAACCACUCCCCUACUGCCCUUGCCCCUUUCGAGUAAGGUAGUCCUCCACUAGCUUUCCUAAUUAAUCAGCCAAGGGCGUCCAUAAACCCUUGUGGUGGCACGUGUUUCUCAAGUUAAGCUCUAUGUUCCAAUUAACAUUAAUGAUCUUAACAUGAACAUAAAUAGAAUAACAAAAUAACUGGAACAUAGACAUGAUAAAUAAUUAUCCCAAAUCCAUGUAAAGCAAUAGCAAACUACCCAAGUGAUUCAGGGGUAAACAAGGUAAUGAGAUAAACAAUCUAGGGUAACCUAUUGGGUCCCAUCAAAAUUAACAUAUGCAUGAAUAAAUGAUAUUAAAGAACAUUAUUGGGUAACAAAAGUGAAUCAAGGGCACAACUUGUCUGGGACUUGAGAUUUCAGGUACCAGGAUGAUCUUCAGGUGACUCGUGACCUCACGCUAGUCGUAGCAAUACAAAAAAACAGUGUAUAGACAAAAUUAACAUUACACCAAACAUAAGUACAAACUGAAUAAUAAUAAUCUACGUGUCGCUACGAGACUAACGCAACUUGAACGGAUCAAAUCGGAGUUAAAACGAAGCAUUUACGAAUUUCCUAAGGUUUUAUGUAUUUGAUACGAGAUUAAUUAAGAGAUAAAUUUUAAUACAGCUUUCAUGUCAAACCAGAGGUACUAUGUGAUAAACAAUAAUAUUAUAGAAUUAUAGGAAUUGGAAUGAAUCAAUUUGGACAUCAUAUGAAUUUUCUAUGAUUAAUACAAGUUCUAGCAUUUAGUUUUACACUAAAAAUCCAUUUCUAAUCUAAUUUCUCUGAUUUUCCAACUUUCUGGACUAGGCCUCAAUUACCUGAAAAGGCAGGGGCAUCGGGGUAACAUUUCUAAGACACAGGAAACAGUAGCCAUGGACUGCGGGUUCUAAUUUGCCUAAACCGAGGGGUUCUAGUGAAAUUGGGCCCGCGAAGGGGUAUCGUGAGAUUCUGGCCGUUCGAUCAGAAACUACAGGCUCCGAUUAGAUCACAAUUUUCUCCAAGCGGUACACCUCGCUAGCCGCCAGAUCUCGCAUCGACGGUUCUGAUUCCCUGAAACACUCGUCGCCCCGAACUCUAAUCCCAGUCGCCCAACUAAGAUCCAAUGGUUACAAACAUCUCCCCUUUCCCUACCAUCCGAGGCUGCUCACCCAGGAAUCAACGGCUAACACGCCGUCUUCUCCACGGCGCUAUCCGCCGCUGCGCACACCAGGCAGGCACAGCCCCGCCCACGGCCGCAGACGCCCCCACCGAUGCGCGCAGUAAUCACGCCACCACGUCAGACCUAGGUCGAGCGAUGGUGAUACCACGCCCCGCUACGCCGAGCCGAACGCCAACCCAGAUUAAGUCUAGCCGCUAAGGUGAGCUACGCCAGGAAGAAGAAUAAGGCGAGAACGUGGGGGUGUUCCUUACCGAGGGAUUGCGCGACGCAGGAGACCACAGCCGAAGUCUUACGGCCCGACGAUGCCGAUGUGGAUCCACCACGGCGGCCGCAUGCUCUACCCCUACUACGACGGCGACUCUAUUUGUCGAUGUGGAGGGUCACUGAUUGUCGCAUCCAAGGUAUGCGGCGGCCGUUCUUUUUAUAUCCCGAACGCGAGGCCGAGGACCCAGUCAAAUCCCACCGACCCGCCGAAAUCGCGGAUUCUGUUAGGCUUCGGUGCUCGUUUCAACGAGGAAGACGCCUGGAAUGCCAGACCCACCACGCAGCAACCCAAAGCGAGGCAAGCGUGCGUCCAAGGCAGCCAGGUGGGACCCACCGGUCGGUCCUAGGCGCACAGCGCGCAGCUCCCCUGGCGGAGGUUGAGCAGCACGUAGAUGCAUCCCUGGUCCAUAACUCCAUACGGUUCAGAAUACGGAGCAAUACUCGGGCCUAGUCAUCAGUGGUACAAUCGCACCUAGAGAUGAGGUCACUACUAACGUCGGCAUGACCUCACCACUCAUGAAUACAUUAAACAAUUCCGGCAGCUCGUCAAUUGUGUGCGCAAGCAUGUGGUUUCCAGCCCAGGUCUGUUGGGUGAGCCGAGCCAGAGCUCCAUGGCCCAGGUAACGUGUUUCUUUUUUUUAUUUCUAUUUUUUUGUUGUUUUCUAAUUUAAAUCUCUAAAUUCGAAUUUGUGAUUCAAACUUAGAGUCAAAGUCAUCAUGCCCAAUCAAAAUAUCCAGCAUGCUGCAAAGUUUUUAUUUUUAUUUUAAUUAUAUAUAUAUACUCAUUGCUUUAUUCAUUUUAAACAACUACUUCCAAGUGUAUAUUUUAUACCCACCAAAUAUAUGUUGUAAUAAAAUAAUUUCUAUUGCACAAAUUUAUUGAUAGUUAUUUCAGAUACAUUUCUAAAUAUUUUAUCUAAAAAGAAUAACUUAAUUUUAUAUUGAUUUUUUUCGUAUUAUUCUAUUAGAAAUCCCUAGUAAUAUUUUUGAUUGCUACAAAUUCUACUUUUCAAACUUAAACUUGUCUUAAAAUUUUGAGUACAAAGGUAAACAUGUAAGAACUCCAUCAUGAGGUGCAUAAUUCUAUAUCUAUUUAUUUUGUUAUUUGGUCAAUAUAAUUAUAUUAUUUGAAUAUGCACACAUAGAAGAAACUCAAUUAAUCUCCCAAGGUUCCAUAAAUUCCUCAAGACAUUAACUUAUACUAUAUUUAUUUAUUUAUUUAUAUCCUUAUUUUUUGUUGAUACAAAUUUUGGGCUCUACAAAUCCUACCCCCUUAAAAAGAAUCUCGUCUCCGAGAUUUGUAAGUAAAGGGAUACAAUAGGUUUGGUCUAGAAUUUUAGUUUCUCAUUUGGUUUUGGGAAUCAAAGUUUUGUUCAAGUUUUUACAUAUGAAUAUUGUAUGUCUAGACAUUUAUUAGGUCAGAUGAGGUACGGUUAUGGCAAGUAGAGGCUGUGGCAAGGGUAUAAUAAGGAAAGACUUCAUCCUGAACUCUGGAUCUUGAUUCCUCUCGCGAUCUAACUUGAUCUUUGAAGACUUGAGUUGAUGCUUAUCUUCCUUUGACGUGGUUGGUCUUCUUUGGCCUUUAUUCUUGGAGUUAUCAUCCGAGUUAAUGACAUAUGGUUAAGAUAGUUGUCGGUGCUUGGAUGGGUAGGCCCAACAAGUUUUACUUUGCUUUUGGGAUAAAUGGGUUGGGCAACCUAUAACAUAGGCUAGGUUGUGGUUUCACGGACGAGUUGGUCUAAGACACCAAUUCAGGUUUAGCACCCAUUUAUAGGAAUAUAAUCUAAUCUAUGUUUCCAGUAUUAACUAGCUUGUUUAAGUAACUUAGAUUAUAGUAGUUCAACUUAAGGUUAGACUUCGUUAGGUUGGAUUAAUCUAUCACAUCGGAUCAGAUCUAGGUUAGAUUGUUAUGACUAGAUAGACUAGAUAAAAUCUCAUUAAUUAGAUCCUGGUUGUUACUUUAGGAUGAGAUAAGUAGAGUGGUUAGGAUAAGAUGAUUCCUUCAAGAUAAGAUGAAUCUAUUGGGAUAAGAGAGAAUCUUUUAAGAUAAAUGGAUCUAUAUGAAAUAGAUACACUUUAAUGGAGGAUAAUCUAGGUUGUUUAGUUAUCUCAUGAAUUUUAUUCAUUUAUAUUUAUGCCUAUAUGUAUAUGUAGAUGUAAUUGUGGAUAUUACUCCACAACUCAUCACACUCAAUCAAAGAUCCAAAUCAGACAAGUAUCAUAAGAACAAGCAUUCAAACACAUAGAUACCUAUAAAAAUAGUUUUGUUUUUGUUCCUAAGAUUAGGUCUCCUAGUCCUAAGAGUCACUUUAGGUACAGGAUUUCAAAGUGUGAAAUCCACAUUUGUCUUUAGAAAGAAAAGAUAAGAAUAAUCAGAGUAAGCGGAAUUAGAUGAGAAAAGAUUAAGAAAAGUUUAGAAAGAAUCAGAGUAGCAAAGGUAAGUAAGUAUUUGUUGUCCAGUUCUGUCUAGGUUUCGUCCUACAGUCAACAUUGCUCUGAUACCACUUCUGUCACACUCGGGUUUCGGGGCACCAAGACCCGGGCGCGAACAUAAUCACCAGGUGUGCUGGGACCAGGUCUCACACAUAUGAUGAAUCAUGGCACAGGAUCGAAUGUCACAACUUUACUAUAUAAUAGGAAUUCUAUACAAAAUAAAUAAUUACAUAUAAGGAGACAACGGUCCAGCAACCCAAAGUUGACUGGGAGACGACGACCUAGACCUCUCACGAACACAUCACAUCAUCCUCCAAGCGCCUCAUCCAGCGGUACCUGUUCUUGACCUGUGGGGGGUGUGAGACAGCAAGAGUGAGCUCACAUACGUUCAUCGCUCAACAAGUUGUGGGGAAUAAUGUGCAUGAACUCGCCAAAGGUGGGAGCUCACGUGAAGUGUAAGGCUUACCAAAGAGGAUGGUUAGAGCUGAGCGUUGCUUUUAAAGUUGGUCAAAAUUUUAUUAGCAAUUACUAAGUAUAAGUAAAUACCAACCCAAUUAAGUAGUAGAACAAAAGUAACAACAUCACCUGCGAUGCAAUGCAUAUGACAAAUUGAAUUUAAGUUUCAUAAUUUAAUCAUCAGAGAGUCCUGAGCUGCUCAUGACCGUGAGCUCGGCUAGUAUACCAGUUUUACACUCUGCAGAGGUGGUACCCUUUACCCACAAGUCAUGUUACCCAUCUGCCAAGGGAUCGCGACUUCCCAUACACCUCUACCGAGGAGGCGAGGCAGGGUAACACUACGAGGCCUUUACAAAGUUCCACUAGCUUUAGAAAACCCGCUACAGUUUAUAGGAAGCUCCAAUGCAGGGUUCUUGCCUGACCGCCAUCGCAGCAAAAUCAACCAAGGACCUCCCUACACUGACCACUCCCCUACUGCCCUUGCCCCUUUCGGGUAAGGUAGUCCUCCACUAGCUUUCCUAAUUAAUCAGCCAAGGGCGUCCAUAAACCCUUGUGGUGGCACAUGUUUCUCAAGUUAAGCUCUAUGUUCCAAUUAACAUUAAUGAUCUUGACAUGAGCAUAAAUAGAAUAACAAAAUAACUGAAACAUAGAUAUGAUAAAUAAUUAUCCCAAAUCCAUAUAAAGCAAUAGCAAACUACCCAAGUGAUUCAGGGGUAAACAAGGUAAUGAGAUAAACAAUCUAGGGUAACCUAUUGGGUCCCAUCAAAAUUAACCUAUGCAUGAAUAAAUGAUAUUAAAGAACAUUAUUGGGUAACAAAAGUGAAUCAAGGGCACAACUUGCCUGGGACUUGAGAUUCCAGGUACCAGGAUGAUCUUCAGGUGACUCGUGACCUCACGCUAGUCGUAGCAAUACAAACAAACAGUGUAUAGACAAAAUUAACAUUACACCAAACAUAAGUACAAACUGAAUAAUAAUAAUCUACGCGUCGCUACGAGACUAACGCAACUUCAACGGAUCAAAUCGGAGUUAAAACGAAGCAGUUACGAAUUUCCUAAGGUUUUAUGUAUUUGAUACGAGAUUAAUUAAGAGAUAAAUUUUAAUACAGCUUUCAUGUCAAACCAGAGGUACUAUGUGAUAAACAAUAAUAUUAUAGAAUUAUAGGAAUUGGAAUGAAUCAAUUUGGACAUCAUAUGAAUUUUCUAUGAUUAAUACAAGUUCUAGCAUUUAGUUUUACACUAAAAAUCCAUUUCUAAUCUAUUUUCUCUGAUUUUCCAACUUUCUGGACUAGGCCUCAAUUACCCGAAAAGGCAGGGGCCUCGGGGUAACAUUUCUAAGACACAAGAAACAGUAGCCAUGGACUGCGGGUUCUAAUUUGCCUAAACCGAGGGGUUCCAGUGAAAUUGGGCCCGCGAAGGGGUAUCGUGAGAUUCUGGCCGUUCGAUCAGAAACUACAGGCUCCGAUUAGAUCGCAAUUUUCUCCAAGCGGUACACCUCGCUAGCCGCCGAAUCUCGCAUCGACGGUUCUGAUUCCCUGAAACACUCGUCGCCCCGAACUCUAAUCCCAGUCGCCCAACUAAGAUCCAAUGGUUACAAACAUCUCCCCUUUCCCUACCAUCCGAGACUGCUCACCUAGGAAUCAACGGCUAACACACCGUCUUCUCCACGGCGCUAUCCGCCGCUGCGCGCACCAGGCAGGCACAGCCCCACCCACGGCCGCAGACGCCCCCCACCGAUGCGCGCAGUAAUCACGCCACCACGUCAGACCUAGGUCGAGCGAUGGUGAUACCACGCCCCGCUACGCCGAGCCGAACGCCAGCCCAGAUUAAGUCUAGCCGCCAAGGUGAGCUACGCCAGGAAGAAGAAUAAGGCGAGAACGUGGGGGUGUUCCCUACCGAGGGAUUGCGCGACGCAGGAGACCACAGCCGAAGUCUUGCGGCCCGACGAUGCCGACGUGGAUCCACCACGGCGGCCGCAUGCUCUACCCCUGCUACGACGGCGACUCUAUUUGUCGAUGUGGAGGGUCACUGAUUGUCGCAUCCAAGGUAUGCGGCGGCCGUUCUUUUUAUAUCCCGAACGCGAGGCCGAGGACCCAGUCAAAUCCCACCGACCCGCCGAAAUCGCGGAUUCUGUUAGGCUUCGGUGCUCGUUUCAACGAGGAAGACGC
RNAcentral lists this long non-coding RNA (7291 nucleotides) under Zea mays. RNAcentral describes it as "long non-coding RNA (ZMAY_LNC002605)". The record is from RNAcentral. Lineage: Eukaryota; Viridiplantae; Streptophyta; Magnoliopsida; Poales; Poaceae.